GGACUUGUAAUCAAUGGGCAUCACGAGGAAUUGCACUGGUCUCCCUUUAUCCAAUCAGUGAAACUGAUCUCCCUGUGAAAAAGCAGGGCAUAAAACUAUAAGACGAGAAGACCCCAUGGAAGCUUUAAACCAACAGCAACUUAGUAAAACACCCUAAAAACUAUAAAAUUAUGCUUACGGCUUUAGGUUGGGGUGACCGCGGAGUAAAACUUAACCUCCAUGUCGAAAAGACAAACUACCCAGAAUUACCACUCUAAGAAUUAGCAAACUAACGGACUAUGACCCGAUAUCGAUCAACGAACCAAGUUACCCUGGGGAUAACAGCGCAAUCUACUUCAAGAGUCCUUAUCGACAAGUAGGCUUACGACCUCGAUGUUGGAUCAGGGUAUCCUAGUGGUGCAACCGCUACUAAAGGUUCGUUUGUUCAACGAUUAAAAUCCUACGUGAUCUGAGUC
This 455-nucleotide ribosomal RNA is filed under the name Raorchestes rezakhani. RNAcentral describes it as "partial large subunit ribosomal RNA". It matches the Rfam family "Bacterial large subunit ribosomal RNA", at positions 1984 to 2611 of the family's 2925-position model. The record is from RNAcentral. Lineage: Eukaryota; Metazoa; Chordata; Amphibia; Anura; Rhacophoridae.